UACGGGGGGGGCAAGCGUUGUUCGGAAUUACUGGGCGUAAAGGGCUCGUAGGCGGCCAACUAAGUCAGACGUGAAAUCCCUCGGCUUAACCGGGGAAUGGCGUCUGAUACUGGAUGGCUCGAGUUUGGGAGAGGGAUGCGGAAUUCCAGGUGUAGCGGUGAAAUUCGUAGAUAUUCGCAAGAACACCAGUGGCGAAGGCGGCUCACUGGCCCGAUACUGACGCUGAGGUGCGAAAGCGUGGGGAGCAAACAGG
Molecule: ribosomal RNA, 253 nt
Filed under: uncultured bacterium
Lineage: Bacteria
Description: partial 16S ribosomal RNA
Rfam family: Bacterial small subunit ribosomal RNA
Source: RNAcentral